UACAGAGGGGGCAAGCGUUGUUCGGAAUUACUGGGCGUAAAGCGCGCGUAGGUGGCUCGAUAAGCCGGUUGUGAAAGCCCCGGGCUCAACCUGGGAACUGCAUCCAAAACUGGCAAGCUAGAGUACGGUAGAGGGUGGUGGAAUUUCCUGUGUAGCGGUGAAAUGCGUAGAUAUAGGAAGGAACACCAGUGGCGAAGGCGACCACCUGGACUGAUACUGACACUGAGGUGCGAAAGCGUGGGGAGCAAACAGG
Molecule: unclassified non-coding RNA, 253 nt
Filed under: uncultured Pseudomonadaceae bacterium
Lineage: Bacteria; Pseudomonadati; Pseudomonadota; Gammaproteobacteria; Pseudomonadales; Pseudomonadaceae
Description: contains 16S-23S intergenic spacer region
Rfam family: Bacterial small subunit ribosomal RNA
Source: RNAcentral